This 149-nucleotide ribosomal RNA is filed under the name Kirramyces sp. TIB-2006b. RNAcentral's name for it is "5.8S ribosomal RNA". It matches the Rfam family "5.8S ribosomal RNA". From Rfam's summary of the family: 5.8S ribosomal RNA (5.8S rRNA) is a component of the large subunit of the eukaryotic ribosome. It is transcribed by RNA polymerase I as part of the 45S precursor that also contains 18S and 28S rRNA. Functionally, it is thought that 5.8S rRNA may be involved in ribosome translocation. The record is from RNAcentral. Lineage: Eukaryota; Fungi; Ascomycota; Dothideomycetes; Mycosphaerellales; Teratosphaeriaceae.
CUUUCAACAACGGAUCUCUUGGUUCUGGCAUCGAUGAAGAACGCAGCGAAAUGCGAUAAGUAAUGUGAAUUGCAGAAUUCAGUGAAUCAUCGAAUCUUUGAACGCACAUUGCGCCCUCUGGUAUUCCGGAGGGCAUGCCUGUUCGAGCG